This 253-nucleotide ribosomal RNA is filed under the name uncultured bacterium. RNAcentral describes it as "partial 16S ribosomal RNA". It matches the Rfam family "Bacterial small subunit ribosomal RNA", at positions 524 to 776 of the family's 1533-position model. The record is from RNAcentral.
UACGGAGGGGGCUAGCGUUGUUCGGAAUUACUGGGCGUAAAGCGCGCGUAGGCGGCUUUGUAAGUUAGAGGUGAAAGCCCGGAGCUCAACUCCGGAAUUGCCUUUAAGACUGCAUCGCUAGAAUCAUGGAGAGGUUAGUGGAAUUCCGAGUGUAGAGGUGAAAUCCGUAGAUAUUCGGAAGAACACCAGUGGCGAAGGCGACUAACUGGACAUGUAUUGACGCUGAGGUGCGAAAGCGUGGGGAGCAAACAGG